AUUGAACGCUGGCGGCAGGCUUAACACAUGCAAGUCGAACGAGUGGCGGACGGGGGAGUAUUGCUUGGGAAUUUGCCUUUUGGAGGGGGAAAACUACGGGAAACUUUAGCAAUAACCGCUCACCUUAGGUUGAGCCCAAGUGGGAUGAGGUAGUUGGUGAGGAAAAGGCUCACCAAGCCGACGAUCUCUAGCUGGUCUGAGAGGAUGACCAGCCACACUGGGACUGAGACACGGCCCAGACUCCUACGGGAGGCAGCAGUGGGGAAUAUUGCGCAAUGGGGGCAACCUGACGCAGCCAUGCCGCGUGAAUGAAGAAGGCCUUCGGGUUGUAAAGUUCUUUCGGUAGCGAGGCGUUAACUACAGAAGAAGCACCGGCUAACUCCGUGCCAGCCGCCGCGGUAAUAC
This 405-nucleotide ribosomal RNA is filed under the name uncultured bacterium. Its description in RNAcentral is "partial 16S ribosomal RNA". It matches the Rfam family "Bacterial small subunit ribosomal RNA", at positions 30 to 526 of the family's 1533-position model. The record is from RNAcentral.